Molecule: non-coding RNA, 559 nt
Organism: Mustela erminea (ermine)
Lineage: Eukaryota; Metazoa; Chordata; Mammalia; Carnivora; Mustelidae
Source: the annotation of a RefSeq genome assembly
GACCCAAUUUCUCUGAUUCAAGACUCUAUACUCUGCUUGUAGGGGCAUCAGAAACUCAGCAACUACACAAGGAAUCAUGAGGAGACACGGGGGAGCUCUGCUGGGACUCCUGUGGCUCCAGGUUUGCUUGGUGAGAGGGGUGACGGUGGAGCAGAGCCCUUCAGCCCUGAGCUUCCAGGAGGGAGCCGACUCUACUCUGAAGUGCAAUUUUUCCCAAACUGAGCGCAGUGUGCAGUGGUUCCGACAGCACCCCGGGGGCGGUAGUCUCACCAGGCUGUUUUAUGUAUUUUCCGGGAUGCAGCAGAGUGGGAGGUUAAACUGCACAGUGAAUAUUAAGGAACGGUCCAGCACCCUCCACAUUGGGGCCUCCCGACUGGAAGACUCAGCCACCUACCUGUGUGCGGCACAGGCACCGUGCUCCCCCGUGAUCUGUAGCCUGCACCCAAACUGCAGCUGUGCCUGCAGCCCCACCAGGAAGCCUUGCACCGCGGUCUCACACAGCAUGCUUGGACCAUCUGGGGCUCUUCUGGGCUCCAAAGCGGGUGACACUAAACUUUGA